AACGAACGCUGGCGGCGCGUCUUAAACAUGCAAGUCGAACGGCAGGAAGGGGCUUGCCCCUUCUGAGAGUGGCGGACUGGUGAGUAACACGUGGGUGACAUACCUUUUAGUUGGGGAUAGCUAUUAGAAAUAGUAGGUAAUACCGAAUGUGGCCGUACCUGUUAGAGGGGUACGAGGAAAGGAGCUAAGGCUUCGCUAAAAGAAUGGCUCGCGGCCCAUUAUGCUCGUUGGUGAGGUAACGGCCCACCAAGGCGAUGAUGGGUAUCCGGCCUGAGAGGGUGAACGGACACAUUGGGACUGAGAUACGGCCCAGACUUCUACGGGAGGCAGCAGUUAAGAAUAUUCCGCAAUGGACGAAAGUCUGACGGAGCGACGCCGCGUGGAUGAAGAAUGCCGAAAGGUUGUAAAAUCCUUUUAAGCCUGAUGAAUAAGCACAGUAGGGAAUGAUUGUGCGGUGACCGUAGGGCUUGAAUAAGCACCGGCUAAUUACGUG
RNAcentral lists this ribosomal RNA (493 nucleotides) under uncultured bacterium. RNAcentral describes it as "partial 16S ribosomal RNA". It matches the Rfam family "Bacterial small subunit ribosomal RNA", at positions 29 to 507 of the family's 1533-position model. The record is from RNAcentral.